UAGGAUAUAGUGUAUUUAGGUAGCACGAAGAUUUUUGAAUUCUUAAGGUUAGGUUCGAUUCCUAUUGUUCUAG
This 73-nucleotide transfer RNA is filed under the name Mirounga leonina (Southern elephant seal). RNAcentral's name for it is "transfer RNA-Gln". It matches the Rfam family "tRNA". From Rfam's summary of the family: Transfer RNA (tRNA) molecules are approximately 80 nucleotides in length. Their secondary structure includes four short double-helical elements and three loops (D, anti-codon, and T loops). The record is from RNAcentral. Lineage: Eukaryota; Metazoa; Chordata; Mammalia; Carnivora; Phocidae. RNAcentral also lists the same sequence under 1 other name.